This 62-nucleotide transfer RNA is filed under the name Gnathostomula armata. RNAcentral describes it as "tRNA-Ile". Lineage: Eukaryota; Metazoa; Gnathostomulida; Bursovaginoidea; Gnathostomulidae. The record is from RNAcentral.
AUUAUUAAACUAAAGUUUAGGUUACCUUGAUAGGGUAAAUUUUCUGUUUAACAGUAAUAUUU